Molecule: ribosomal RNA, 430 nt
Filed under: bacterium
Lineage: Bacteria
Description: partial 16S ribosomal RNA
Rfam family: Bacterial small subunit ribosomal RNA
Source: RNAcentral
UGGGGAAUUUUGGACAAUGGGCGCAAGCCUGAUCCAGCCAUGCCGCGUGCAGGAUGAAGGCCUUCGGGUUGUAAACUGCUUUUGUACGGAACGAAACGGCUCUUUCUAAUAAAGAGGGCUAAUGACGGUACCGUAAGAAUAAGCACCGGCUAACUACGUGCCAGCAGCCGCGGUAAUACGUAGGGUGCGAGCGUUAAUCGGAAUUACUGGGCGUAAAGCGUGCGCAGGCGGUGAUGUAAGACAGAUGUGAAAUCCCCGGGCUCAACCUGGGAACUGCAUUUGUGACUGCAUCGCUGGAGUGCGGCAGAGGGGGAUGGAAUUCCGCGUGUAGCAGUGAAAUGCGUAGAUAUGCGGAGGAACACCGAUGGCGAAGGCAAUCCCCUGGGCCUGCACUGACGCUCAUGCACGAAAGCGUGGGGAGCAAACAGGA